Molecule: ribosomal RNA, 439 nt
Filed under: uncultured bacterium
Lineage: Bacteria
Description: partial 16S ribosomal RNA
Rfam family: Bacterial small subunit ribosomal RNA
Source: RNAcentral
CCUACGGGAGGCAGCAGUGGGGGAUAUUGCACAAUGGAGGAAACUCUGAUGCAGCGACGCCGCGUGAGGGAAGACGGCCUUCGGAUUGUAAACCUCUGUCUUUGGGGAAGAAAAUGACGGUACCCAAAGCGGAAGCUCCGGCUAACUACGUGCCAGCAGCCGCGGUAAUACGUAGGGAGCGAGCGUUGUCCGGAAUUACUGGGUGUAAAGGGAGCGUAGGCGGGCGGGAAAGUUGAAUGUUAAAUCUACCGGCUUAACUGGUAGCUGCGUUCGAAACUUCUUGUCUUGAGUGUAGUAGAGGCAGGCGGAAUGCCUGGUGUAGCGGUGAAAUGCGUAGAUAUUAGGAGGAACACCGGUGGCGAAGGCAGCCUGCUGGGCUUUAACUGACGCUGAGGCUCGAAAGCGUGGGGAUCGAACAGGAUUAGAUACCCUAGUAGUC